This is a long non-coding RNA of Lepidothrix coronata (blue-crowned manakin), 6784 nucleotides long. RefSeq lists it as uncharacterized. The transcript is spliced from 5 exons. The record is from RefSeq and is a predicted model, not a curated record. Lineage: Eukaryota; Metazoa; Chordata; Aves; Passeriformes; Pipridae.
GGAGCGCACGGACGGGCGGAGGCGGCGGCCGCAGCCCUCGCUCACGGCCUGGCCGGGGCUCGGUUCGCUUACAUAAGGCAGCAGCGCCUGUAUCCCGUUUCCUGGUGCCGCCGCCCGCGCUGGGUGCACUCCCUGAGAAGUUUCGAAACUGACCCCGCGCAUUGUUCAGGAGGCGCCGGGUCACAAAGCAAAGUGCAGCGCAGGAGAGCGCAGGGCUGCCGGUCUCUCCGGCGGGAGCCAGCCGGCAUCGGUUUGAAUAGCUACAACAAUGGUUAAACUAAGUGUUUCCAGAGUGUUAAAGAAAGCUUGGACCACCACCACGUGUUCACAUAUACAUGACAGGAAUGUAGUGGACUCAGCAAAGUCAUUUUCUGUCCUCUGCUUAGACCAUUUAUUGGUGGACAAGCGUAAAUACCAGAGUGGAAUGAGGAGAAUAACAGAAAAGAGAAAAUUUAUCUGAAAAAGGACUCAGGAGUUUAUCUGGACCACUCCCUUAUCUCCAGGGAGGACUCACUUCUACUUCAGAUCUGAUACAGCUAUGAAAAGAGAAGAAAUCAAUGUGGCCAAUUGCAUGUGCUGCCAGCAUCAUCUCACAGGAGUACCCUACUGCAGCAAUGUCUUCUGUGCUGACAUCUUCCAUACCUCAACUCUGAGAUGGAAAUGAUUGCCAAUAUACGAAAGAAAAGCCAUACACAGCUUUGGGAAACAGAAAGAGAUGGAAGAGAAGGAGCCACUGCACUUUUGUACCCAGGAAUGACCUUUGGGAGUACAACUCCUUUUCACCACACAGAGCAGAUAAAAUGAGCUGGCACAAAGGAAAGAAGGACCUCAUGGAAGGAAGCGCAGGAGAUGGGAAGCACGGCCGAAAAAAGCGAGAGCGGCUAUUUAAGAAGAGAUUUUCUGGACUGAGCCUUUUCUCUGGGUCUCCUAAGAAUAAAUUGUAAGUACAUCCCAGAUUAUAUUUUGUAUACAUUUUUAACCAAGAAAUUUUGUAAGUAUUUCCAGAGCAGCUCUGGAAGAGCCACACAGACACUUUUGUUAGCUCUGCCGUAUUAACUGUUUCACAAACAAGGAAACAGUUAUGGACUAAUUAAACAACUUGACCUUAAAACUAGGAAGUCACUGGCAGAAGUAGACACAAAAUGAAUGUCUCCAAACCUUGUGUGUCUGUGUGUUCCUCUUAUAACCAUUUUCCAAUGCUUCCACAGUGAGAGAUUCAGAGAGGCAGCAUCUCUGUUCCUCCAGAUACACACUAGCACUGCCAGCCCGACAACCCGGGACACUGGUCUAGGAGUAACAAUGCUGCAGUUUUUGUUGCACUGACAGCUGUAACUCCGGGGUGUAAUGGGCAAUGGCAGUGUAUGGGCAGCAGCAAAAAUCACUGUCCAACAAAGUCAGUGCUACUAAGUUUCUUGAAUCAGAGCAUAAUUAUUGCUUGUGUUCCUACAAUCGUACCUUUAUAGUUACUACUUUUCAGUUAGAAGGAGAAAAGGAAAAACAAAACAAAAAGACAAGCAACACAAAACUAUUCCUUUUUCAACAAAAGUAAGCAGAGGUAAAAGUCAGUUUGAGCUUACUGCUUUGUGCAUGUAUUAGUUUUGAGCCAUUAUAAUCAUCCAUUUGGGGUUUGAAAUUCUCUUUUUGGGUCUUUCUACUUGAUAUUAUUCAUAUUAUUCUUCCUUAACACAAAAAUUAAACUGAGUGUAUGCAUCAUGCUAAGAUCAGGAGGGGUUUCCAAAAACUGUUUUUUCUCAUUCAAGACCUGCAUUCCCUACAGAUCUCCUACAAAGAGUCUGUCUUUGAUAAUUAUCAUGAAAUUACCGUCUUAGGAGGAAGUGCACGCAAGUCUCCACAAUUACUCAGCUAACUACAUUAAGCUUGAUAGCCACAGCAGCUGGUUACAGGCUCGACAUAAGAUUAAAAUACACUAGCCAGAAAUGAACCUGAGAGCCACAUUUUUCUCUCAGACUGAUCUAAUUGCAGCACAACUAAUACCAAGGCCUUGGCUUUGGGAUUUAUCUUGCUGCACUGCUAAGGAACUGGACUUGAAACAUAGUCAAACAUCCAAAAAGUGAAUUACAUCUGUGAGUAUCCUCUGUUAUUCAUAAUUUCACUGAAGUGUGCAUUCAGGGGGCAGACAAAUGCAAAGCAGUAAAACCAUGUUUUCCAGACAUUGAUCCUUCUGUGUCAGUGAUAAAUAUGGACUUCCCCAGUUUGAAAAAAAGAUUAAAAAGAAAUUCAACAGGAAUAUAGGAACCUCCUCCCAUGGUGCUCUCACAUUAAUGGAAAGAGUCAGUCUUCAGACCUUACUGGAGAUAUUUCUACAGACACAUUGCAUGGCAGUGGUUUUUAAACACAUUCAAGCCACAAGGGCCUACAGAACUCCCACAGUGGUACAGCCAAAUCACAUCAUUUCUACAGUUCAGCACUGAUUUGUGAGCUCUCGUAAGGGAUUACGUAGGUUAGCUGCUUGAUUUUGAAGCACUGUUUUAUAUAAAAUACAACGGUAUAUAAUUUGAUCAAGAGACCUUUUCUUUCAGCUCUUCCAUCUCUGUUCAAGGUCAGUGCAAUAUAGGGCUUAUCUACUGGCCAGCAUUAGUGUGCACUGUUAGUGCACACAAGUGGAAAAAGAACCUUUAUGAUGGUAUGGGGGAGGCCUAUUAGGUCAGAUGCCAGUAAUUUAGAUACACAGAGCUGUAUGGAAUUUGUCUUCAUGCAAACACAUGAGGCUUGUGCCACAAUCACCCACAGAAAAGCUGCAUAUUAAAGAUCCUACCUAGCUAGCUGGCAUCACUGGUUUAUGGUUUUGUUUAAAUGAUGGAAAUCCUUUAAUCAUUCUGUGUUCUAAAACUAAUGGUUUGUCCUGCCAUCACAGCCAGACUCCCCUUUUUCUGUCCAUUCCUGCUUUCUGCAGGUGACCACACGUUGCACCUGCUCCUGGUGUGUCACAGGUACAGCCUGUGGAAGGGUUCAUAAAUCACACACUAAUUGCUUCUGCUGCCCUAGGAAGUGCACAGGCUGAACUUGUCACCUCUCUUUGUGACUGUUGUAGCCCUCAGGGAAGAAGUCAGCUUUUUGAAGACAAGAGGAGAUGUUUACACAGGAAAGGCUCCAAGAAGCUGAAGCCAGCACGGGAGGAAAUCUGUUCUUUGAGGCAGCCACACUCCGGGAAAAUGUGUCCGAAAUGCGAGAUCCUCACCUGCCGGAAGUGCGAGACCCUGCACUCGGAGAGCGGCUUCAUUGCCCACAGCCUGCUCGACCACUAUGACAGGGGAGGAGCCACAGCCCACCUGUGACUGCAGAGGGGUGAUUAAAGAUCUGAUGUGGGUACCCUGCCAGUACCCAACCACAUCCCAAACGCUAAAGCUUGGAUCCCUCAGGCUCACUGGGUCUCCGGCCUGCGCAGCAUCAGCAAUUCCAGCCAUACUGUAGCUCACACUAUACACAGCAGAUGCACAUGCAGUAAUUUAACCAGCAUGCACCCUGCAAGCAAAGAUCUGUAAGCUAAAAGUUUCUCAGCUGCUAAGGACAAGGAAUUGUUUCAGAAAUAAUCUCCAGUUUUCUUUGUUCUCUCCAGGAAACAAGAUUAUCCCACUGAGCUGCAAAGAAGGACGUGACUAUUGCAUGCAGAACACUGGGUACAUUGCUCUUACUUGCAAUGCCUUGGUAUGUUUCAGUAUUGUUUGUGGUCUGGAAUAUUAAACAUUUUAUUUUUAAAUUAACUAACUCAGGUAUGCACUUGAUGGGGGAAGGGGGCUUUCUAAAGGCCAUGAGGACUGCAGAUCACAUCCAAACACCCUGCUAGAAUUUCUGACCUCUCACAGGCUUUCAGCACCUCUCUUAUGAUUCAGCAUCUUGCCUUAAAAGAAGCAACAAGGAUCACAACUCUCAAAGUAUAUAAGAUUUCUUCAGGUUCUUAAACCGAAAACUGUAGUUUUUAAGCAGUUCUUAAAACUGUGUAGUGCAGCUCCAAAUAGGCCAAUACACAAUGGUAGGGGUGGGUGGCAUUAAGGUCCAGGCAUACAUAAAACUAUUUAUCUUUUUGGAAUUCUUAAGUACAAGUGAAAGGAGGAAGUAGCCUCUGGAAUAGGUUAUCCCAAGUUUAGCAGCAUACAUCUUUUCCUCCCAUGGCAACUGGCCAACUCUAUAUGCAGGAUGAAUUCCUCACUCUUUGGUUGCUAACAGGCUAAACAGACUUAGUGUCCCAUAGCCAUUGAUAUUAAGGGUUCUUUUAUUUAGCCAAGCAGAUAGAACACAGGCUGGGAAGUCUGGACUUGUUUCAUUAAUCCUUUUCCUAAGGACUCUCUGUGUCCUUCCUGCUCCCCUUUUGGAGCUGUUCCAUUUUUGUUCCAAUGAAUGUUUGGUAAGGGGACUGGAAUCCUGAUUUUUUUUUCUAUCCCUAGGGAGUACUUUGACUGAGCUAUGUCAUCCAUUCUUGUGUUUUGUUUCCACCUCCUCAGAAAACAAUUUCAACAGGAGGAAUUCAGAGCCACAUAUACAACAUUCCUGUGCUCCAGAGUAUCUUGAACAAUACUGCUUAGCUCCCUUUAUGGAAUGUCAAACACUCAAUGCUCCUUAGGCAAGAGACCGAGACCAUUUCAGAAACUAGACUGAGCUGUCCAAAGCCCAAAGGGCAAAGCCCAUUAGGUUCCAUAGGUAGGAGAAAACCUGAGGCAGGAUUUACAAAUAGGAAUGAACCGCUACCAGGAAUGAACCCUUCUGCCCAGACUUCACUGGUUCUGUGUCCUAGCAAGUGCCCAGACUUCCUGUCCAAACACAGACUUCUAAAGCCAGAAAUUAGAUCUUAAGAAGAUCCUUGUGCUACAAGGGCCUUAAUCCCUCAGAAACCAUGUUUCCAUGGUGCUUGAUUGUAGCUUCCGCUCAUUUGCUUCAUAAAAGCCAAGCAAUGCCUGGCAAACCAGAAUUAACCUUUUACGUUUCCCCGUGACUGCUAUUCUUAAGCUGUGAUCCUUCACAGCUUUCCUAAGAAUAAGCCACUCCAGUACUUUAGAAAUAUCUAUUCAUCCUCAUCCCUCUUCAUCAAGCAAUCCAGAGGAAACGUCUCCAGAUAGUCACCUGAGGAAGAGCAAGGUGACAGACUGAAAGGAUGAAGGACUAGCUCAUCACAGCAGCAUUACUUUAAAUCUCACAGUCCACUACAGUGAAACCAGUUCCAAUAGCUGACAUAGUUGAGCUUUUAGCCAAGUGUUCCAGAGGGGAUAGUUCUAUCAGCACCUGCCUGAUGGGAUUUCCUUUGUGGCUUGCUGGAAGACACACAGCAAAGCUCCUCAUAGGGGCUAUUAGUCUGGAAAGGCAUCUAAGUAAUAGCAAUGUGCAAACCCAGCUCAUUUUAGGGAGCAACUUUCUCUUCUCCUCACUUCCCCCCCAGUUAAUGCUGUUUUCCUGUCCUGUUUGAAGGACAGCUGGUAACAUGGUAAAUCAUUUCCCUGACCAGCACUGCAGAAGCACCACUCUUCUCCUCUAUCAGUCAUGAAGUCAAGCUUGGGAAGAACAACUACAACAUUUCCAUUAUGCGCUGAGGUAGCACAAGCUAAUAUGGUCCUUGUUUUCUCAGUAGCUGUUAAAUGACUGCACUUUUCCUGGGCUUCAGAGAUCUGCCUGGUACUGUGAGACCAUGUUUGUUCCUGUCAUACACAGGUUUAUGUGUGUGGUAUUGAGGUCAGGCAAUAAAGCCACUACCUUGAGCUUAGCCUGACUUUGAUCUCCCCAGCCACGGCACAACGAGGCACAUUUGUCUCCAAAAACCCCACAGGCCCCUGCAAACGGUGAAAUCCCAGAGCCAGGGAGCUCUGCAACCUCUAUGGCAGCACCGACUGCCACUCAUCCAUCAGGACAGCUCCACCCCCUCAGCUCUUAUGCCAGACAAGAAAUUUUUAAAAUUAUUUCAAGAAAACUUGCCAAAAACUGGAACAUGUUAUGUGAGCACAGGCUUUCAGUUUUAGAUUUUAAAGCCGGCUCAAGACACAUAAUUAUAUUAAUACAAUAUAUUGUGAAAGAAUUAUAAUAGAAAUACUGAUUACACAUUUAAAAGAUUUGGGCUUGAAAUCAUUCCUAAAUAAUAAAGCUAUGAUCAUACCCUGACAUAUCAGUUAUUAAGAGCCUGUACUCCUUAAUUAUCUGAUUCCAAUAGUUUGAGGAAAUUUAAGAGGAACAUUGGACUCUAUUAUAUUAAAUACACAAAUGGGCUCCAUCAAAGGCAUUCACUAGAAUGUGAGUGACUUGACAAUCAACAGACCCCUGCCAACACAACUGAUACAAGCAUAAAAGGGAAAGGAAGCAACUCCACUGGUGAGGGGCAAAUCCAUGGGAGCUCUUUCCCUGUAAAUCCAACACAGGACAAGCAGGAGUAUAAAAGCAGCAGUUGUCACCACUUGUUCACAAAUCAAAAGAUUCAAGGUAAAGAAAUCAAACCCAUAAAGUACUCAUACAAUCAAAAGAAAACUAGAAUAAAUUAAUACAAUAUAUACACUGCAUAUACCCAAUUUCAGUUUUGGUUUUUAAAGCAGCCUAGGUAGCUUUCUCCUCUGCCAGAUACAAUGAAGGCCUUGAGAAAGAAAAGUAAUUUUUUCAGUUGACAUGUACAGAGCAGACUAGAAGUAGAUCUGGAGAAAAGUAAUUACCAUAACAUGAGACCAUCUGAACUGAAGAUGUUUGAUAUCAAAGUUGUACCUUAUGUUUCUUUUCUACAGCCGCACAAAGCUAUAUCCUUUCCAAAGCUUCCACAUUUAAAAAGGUGAUGUUUCUCCUUACUGUUACAAACAUC